AGAGUUUGAUCCUGGCUCAGGACGAACGCUGGCGGCGCGCUUAACACAUGCAAGUCGAGCGAGAACCAGGCCUUCGGGCCUGGGGAAAGCGGCGAACGGGUGAGUAACACGUGGGUAAUCUGCCCUCGGCACCGGAAUAGCCCGGGGAAACCCGGAUUAAUGCCGGAUAGCCUCUCCAGCCCUUGGGUUGGUGAGAAAAGGUAGCUUCGGCCUCUGGCCGAGGAGGAGCCCGCGGCGGAUUAGCUUGUUGGUGGGGUAAUGGCCCACCAAGGCGACGAUCCGUAGCUGGUCUGAGAGGACGAUCAGCCACACUGGGACUGAGACACGGCCCAGACUCCUACGGGAGGCAGCAGUGGGGAAUCUUGCGCAAUGGGCGAAAGCCUGACGCAGCGACGCCGCGUGCGGGAAGAAGGCCUUCGGGUUGUAAACCGCUUUCAGGAGGGACGAAGCCACUCGGGUUAAUAGCCCAGAGGGUGACGGUACCUCCAGAAGAAGCCCCGGCUAACUACGUGCCAGCCGCCGCGGUAAUUC
This 531-nucleotide ribosomal RNA is filed under the name uncultured bacterium. RNAcentral's name for it is "bacterial SSU rRNA". It matches the Rfam family "Bacterial small subunit ribosomal RNA", at positions 8 to 526 of the family's 1533-position model. The record is from RNAcentral.